CCCGCCGCGUGGCUUCUCACCAAGAGCGGCACGGCUGCGCCCAGAACCGUCUCCUUAUGAAGUCGUUGAAGUCGGAGGCCAGGGUCGUGCCAUGGAGACGCCGCGGCGGAUGCAGUCCGGCUCCCGCGGCGGCUCCUCCCCGCUUCCGCCUCCUUUUCCGACAACCGGUCGGCAGCUCGCCCAUUGGCCAGUUCAAACCCCCCCCGGAGCCUCUCGGGUUUCGCCAUUUAGGCCCAGCCCCCAGCGUCACAGAGAUGCCCCGCCCCGUGAGCGGACGCUCCGCCCACUUCCGGGUCACGAGGCCGGCCCACCGCCCGGUUGUCAGGGAGACACGCGACGCCUCCCGCGCAGGCCAGCCUUGUCUUGCCCCACCGUUCAGGCCACCGCGUCCCCUCCGCCAUUUUGCCCUGGUCCUCCCGACUCCCGAGCCCUAACGCGCUCCCCUCGAAACACAGUAGGAAGCUGGACGCAUGGGGAGCCUGAACGAGCGACAGGCUGGGGCUGCUGGAAAGCCAUCCCUCGGCCUAGUCCGCUCAGUGCAGAGAAUUGUGCACACUAUCCAGACUGUGCCCCUCUCCCACACGGCCCAAACAGGAGGAAGAGGCCGCACUCCCCACGCCCCUGCCGCCCUCCCGCACACCGUACGCCGCUUCUAUACGGACCUACUCUGCUGAGGUUCUCUCUGCUGAGCCGCCAUCUCUCAACUAUGCUUCCCUGUUAGCCAAUCGUGGGGGACUGUCACGAGGCUCACGUUCCCGCCCUGGAUUCUGGGAGACUUUUAACAACCUCAGGGCCGGUAAUCUCAAGAAUGAAGCAGGAAGAUGGAUGCCAUGAGUUGAAGGCCAGUCUGGAUGCCUCGGUCCUAGCCUACCAUCCUGAAGUUCCGCAAGAGCAAACAGCUGGGGAUAGGGACUCCGAGUUAGAGCCCUUGCAAGACCUGAGCAAAACUCUAGAUUCAAUUUACAGUACCACAUACAUUUUAUAAUCUCCACGAAUAAUUGUUUCCACGCUGUCCAGCAAUUGUUCUCUCUAGACAAUUACCACCAGUGGCUUUUCCAAAUUUUUGUCUCUUCUGUAUUCCAUACAUCAAGCUCCCUAUUUCAUAGAGGAAAUUCUACAAAAUGAAAUUCCCUUAACAUCUACAUGCUUUCCCAUCCUUAACUGCCCUUCUGUUCUGCCUUCAGGUGUAUAUGUGCUUCUUGCUGCCUAAGAUAACCUCCUGCUUCAAGGUCCAAGUCAAACAUAUCGAAAGUGUCUCCUUUGUAAACAUGAUGGUACUCACCUAUAAUCUCAGAAAUCAGGAGGCUGAGGCAAGUCGAUUUGCCCAGGAGUUUGGGGCCAGCGUGGUCUAUAUAGCAAGGCCUCCUUACGAUUUAAUUAAAAUAAUGAAAUGUCCUUUUGCUACCUCCAAA
Long non-coding RNA from Mastomys coucha (southern multimammate mouse), 1412 nucleotides. RefSeq lists it as uncharacterized. NCBI's taxonomy places the organism in Eukaryota, Metazoa, Chordata, Mammalia, Rodentia, Muridae. The transcript has 2 exons. The record is from RefSeq and is a predicted model, not a curated record.